GAUGAACGCUGGCGGCGUGCCUAAUACAUGCAAGUCGAGCGAACAGAUGAGGAGCUUGCUCCUCUGACGUUAGCGGCGGACGGGUGAGUAACACGUGGAUAACCUACCUAUAAGACUGGGAUAACUACGGGAAACCGGAGCUAAUACCGGAUAAUAUAUUGAACCGCAUGGUUCAAUAGUGAAAGACGGUUUUGCUGUCACUUAUAGAUGGAUCCGCGCCGCAUUAGCUAGUUGGUAAGGUAACGGCUUACCAAGGCAACGAUGCGUAGCCGACCUGAGAGGGUGAUCGGCCACACUGGAACUGAGACACGGUCCAGACUACUACGGGAGGCAGCAGUAGGGAAUCUUCCGCAAUGGGCGAAAGCCUGACGGAGCAACGCCGCGUGAGUGAUGAAGGUCUUCGGAUCGUAAAACUCUGUUAUUAGGGAAGAACAAAUGUGUAAGUAACUAUGCACGUCUUGACGGUACCUAAUCAGAAAGCCACGGCUAACUACGUG
This 497-nucleotide ribosomal RNA is filed under the name uncultured bacterium. RNAcentral describes it as "partial 16S ribosomal RNA". It matches the Rfam family "Bacterial small subunit ribosomal RNA", at positions 28 to 507 of the family's 1533-position model. The record is from RNAcentral.